RNAcentral lists this long non-coding RNA (1434 nucleotides) under Homo sapiens (human). RNAcentral describes it as "HSALNT0354083". Lineage: Eukaryota; Metazoa; Chordata; Mammalia; Primates; Hominidae. The record is from RNAcentral.
GGAAGAGGAAGAAGAAGAAGAAGAAGAAGAAGAAGAAGAAGAAGAAGAAGAAGAAGAAGAAGAAGAAGAAAUGUUUUCUGUUGAGAAGUGCUGUUGGUAUGGAUUAUUUAUUGACUCUUACCUAGAAAUCUUCAGAAUGCUGGUAUGUAUGGAAGAAACAGGUAGUUCUAAUAUCCUGCCUCUUUUCCUCCAGCUAUUUGGAUUUCCUGCAUCUCACUUCAGCACCCUUUAGGAAUGAAGAAUGCCAGCCUGACCAAAUCCAGAACUACACUUUCCUGGAAGCCUGGCUAAAAGUCCCAGACUGGCAAGGGGCAAGCAGCCAGCAGCGUGUGCGGGUGGCAGGCCUGUCAGUGGCCACCUCAGUGCCACCUGCUCUCACACAAAGUGAAGAAUGGAGCCACUCCGCUUCCCAGGUUAUUAAUCCAGUCACCUACAAAUUCAACUCUCUGCCCUUCAGAAGGUUCAGCUAUAAACCUUCUUGGAGUGCCAAUAUAACUUAGUUAUUAAGAAUGUGGACUUUGAAGUCAGAUCAAACUUGUUUCAAAUUCCAGCCCAGAGCUUUUGGGCUGGGUUACUUUGGAAAAGUUCUCUAACCUUUUUGAACUUCAGUUUCCUCCUCAGCAAAAAUAAUAAUAAUAAUAAAACGUACCCUACAACAUUGUUGGAGGAUUGGGUUGAAUAAUGAAUCAAAGUGUUAAGCAUAUACCUAGCAAAGGUAAGUACCACAUAAAUAACACGUCCUGUGAUGAUCAUUGUCACUAUGCCUUUCUCCUUUCCACAUUCUCCACAUUCUUCUCUCCCUCUGUCACCAAAGAGAAGUCCUUUCAAAAUUUUUGCUCCCACAGCAUUCAAUCUCAUCUCAUUAUCUCCUGUGUCCUUCAUCUGGAAUCUUCCAUCCCACUUCCACCCUCAAAAGAUUUCUCCAUUUAUUAUGUAGAAAAUGAAGCUGGAGCCUGAGUUCAUCUCAGAGGUUGUAUACUCGCAUCCAAGAAGAGUACCCCUGUAGAAGGCAGUGGGGAGCUACAAAUAAAGAAAGACUUCAUCCCCUGUUACAUAAACCAAAGCUCUUUACUGGUGAGAAGAUAGCAAAAGCUGAAGCAGACACAGAAUCCACAAGUGGAAAAUACAGCAGUGCCAUUAAAGUUGCUGAGGGCCCGCUUUGCACCAGACACCAUUUUAAGGGAUAGAAGAGAAAACCUAAUGACAGUCUGAUUGCCGUCAAGAGGCUCACAUGUGAAAGGGAAUGAGGAGCUGCAACAAAUAGCACAAUGCGGUAAGUACUGUAAAGACGUGUGCCCAAGGCAGUAAGAGGCGCCAGUGCCUCUUUCAGAGAAGGGGAGGCAAGACUUGUGAAGCCUACAGAGAGCUAAGAUCAGGAAAUACUGGCUACAUGCUUUGUUCUCUAGGGGGAGCUCAAGGCUUUCUCCUUUGAUA